Molecule: ribosomal RNA, 484 nt
Filed under: uncultured bacterium
Lineage: Bacteria
Description: partial 16S ribosomal RNA
Rfam family: Bacterial small subunit ribosomal RNA
Source: RNAcentral
AUUGAACGCUGGCGGCAGGCCUAACACAUGCAAGUCGAGCGGAUGAAGGGAGCUUGCUCCUGGAUUCAGCGGCGGACGGGUGAGUAAUGCCUAGGAAUCUGCCUGGUAGUGGGGGAUAACGUCCGGAAACGGGCGCUAAUACCGCAUACGUCCUGAGGGAGAAAGUGGGGGAUCUUCGGACUUCACGCUAUCAGAUGAGACUAGGUCGGAUUAGCUAGUUGGUGGGGUAAAGGCCUACCAAGGCGACGAUCCGUAACUGGUCUGAGAGGAUGAUCAGUCACAGUGGAAGUGAGACACGGUCCAGACUCCUACGGGAGGCAGCAGUGGGGAAUAUUGGGCAGUGGGCGAAAGCCUGCUCCAGCCAUGCCGCGUGUGUGAAGAAGGUCUUCGGAUUGUAAAGCACUUUAAGUUGGGAGGAAGGGCAGUACGUUAAUACCUUGCUGUUUUGACGUUACCAACAGAAUAAGCACCGGCUAACUUCGUG